This is a long non-coding RNA of Vicia villosa (hairy vetch), 795 nucleotides long. RefSeq lists it as uncharacterized. Lineage: Eukaryota; Viridiplantae; Streptophyta; Magnoliopsida; Fabales; Fabaceae. The transcript is spliced from 3 exons. The record is from RefSeq and is a predicted model, not a curated record.
AAAACCUGUCGCCACUAAAAAACCAAGAUUUGAAAGAGAAAAAAAUAGGACACACUCAAAAGAUCAUGACACUGAAGCACCCAUCGCCAUGUUCUGUUGAAAAUAUCAUCACGACAGGGAAGCACCCGUCACCGUGUUUUAUUGAAAAUAUCAUCACGACUGUGAAGCACCCGUCGCCACCCCCAAACACCCAAUUACCACGACGGUGACAACCUUCUGUCGUCUUCCCUAAUUUCAAUUCGCGCUAAAACGCACUCACGCCCUUAGGUUUUAAAACUUUUUUCUCUUUUUCUUCAUAAACACACUCACGCCUUGGAGAUUGAUAACCGUCAAAGCAAAUUCUUCCUCUCUCAGCUACUCACGCCGACAAAACAACCACUAAGAAUCUUAACAGUUUAAGAAAGCAGAGCUGACCCAAAGGUUCUUGAGCAUCUUCCCAAAGCAACUGACCCAAAAUACUGAGUAUCAGGAAGUGUCUUGAUUCUACUGUUCAAGGUUUGGAAGAGAAGCAUAAUAGAAAGAAAGAAACGGCAUGUAACUUUUAGUUACUUUUUAAGCUCUGGUGUUGAUAUUAUGCUUAUGAGUUUAGCCAAGUCAUGAAUGGCUAUUAUUCUUAUGGUAUCUACUCUUUUGUGAAAUUACAUUUUGUAUUUAGCUAUUCACGGUGGUUAGCUAAAAGUUUUAUAAUAUAUGGUUGGUUACAAAAAAAAUUCAAGAUCUAUCUCUGUCCAAGUGCAUUUUUUUAGGGUACCAAGAAUAUUUACAAAAUUCAACCAAUUUAGUGUAUAUAUAUAU